Molecule: ribosomal RNA, 492 nt
Filed under: uncultured bacterium
Lineage: Bacteria
Description: bacterial SSU rRNA
Rfam family: Bacterial small subunit ribosomal RNA
Source: RNAcentral
CCUGGCGGCGGCCUACACAUGCAAGUCGAGCGGUUGACGGGAGCUUGCUCCCUGAUUCAGCGGCGGACGGGUGAGUAAUGCCUAGGAAUCUGCCUAUUAGUGGGGGACAACGUUUCGAAAGGAACGCUAAUACCGCAUACGUCCUACGGGAGAAAGCAGGGGACCUUCGGGCCUUGCGCUAAUAGAUGAGCCUAGGUCGGAUUAGCUAGUUGGUGGGGUAAUGGCUCACCAAGGCGACGAUCCGUAACUGGUCUGAGAGGAUGAUCAGUCACACUGGAACUGAGACACGGUCCAGACUCCUACGGGAGGCAGCAGUGGGGAAUAUUGGACAAUGGGCGAAAGCCUGAUCCAGCCAUGCCGCGUGUGUGAAGAAGGUCUUCGGAUUGUAAAGCACUUUAAGUUGGGAGGAAGGGCAGUAAAUUAAUACUUUGCUGUUUUGACGUUACCGACAGAAUAAGCACCGGCUAACUCUGUGCCAGCAGCCGCGGUAAU